UCGGGAAUUUUGGGCAAUGGGCGAAAGCCUGACCCAGCAACGCCGCGUGGGGGAUGAAGGCCUUCGGGUUGUAAACCUCUUUCAGCAGGGAAGAAGCGAAAGUGACGGUACCUGCAGAAGAAGCACCGGGGCUAACUACGUGCCAGCAGCCGCGGUAAUACGUAGGGUGCAAGCGUUGUCCGGAUUUAUUGGGCGUAAAGAGCUCGUAGGCGGUUUGUUACGUCGGAUGUGAAAUCCCAGAGCUUAACUCUGGGCCUGCAUUCGAUACGGGCAGACUCGAGUGUUGUAGGGGAGACUGGAACUCCUGGUGUAGCGGUGAAAUGCGCAGAUAUCAGGAAGAACACCGAUGGCGAAGGCAGGUCUCUGGGCAACUACUGACGCUGAGGAGCGAAAGCGUGGGGAGCAAACAGGAUUAGAUACCCAUGUAGUCCCUGAGCGGGCUGGCAAGGCGCAU
RNAcentral lists this ribosomal RNA (454 nucleotides) under uncultured bacterium. Its description in RNAcentral is "bacterial SSU rRNA". It matches the Rfam family "Bacterial small subunit ribosomal RNA", at positions 355 to 825 of the family's 1533-position model. The record is from RNAcentral.